Non-coding RNA from Acanthosepion pharaonis, 100 nucleotides. The record is from the annotation of a GenBank genome assembly. Lineage: Eukaryota; Metazoa; Mollusca; Cephalopoda; Sepiida; Sepiidae.
CAUUAAAACACCGGUUCCCACACGAUCACUGAAGUUAAGCAACAUCAAGCCGGGUCAGUACCUAGAUGGGUGACCACCUGUGAAUACAAGAUGCUGUAAG